AGCACUAUGGUAUCUGCAGCCAGCCGCUACUGCAUUUGGACUGUUCAUUAGUCUGUGCAAGAGUAAUUCGGCAUUUGGCAUUGUUGUUCUCCUUGCCUCGUUGUGCCUGGAGUCCUGGUAUAUCUGUCGAUACAAAC
Non-coding RNA from Salmo salar (Atlantic salmon), 137 nucleotides. Lineage: Eukaryota; Metazoa; Chordata; Actinopteri; Salmoniformes; Salmonidae. The record is from Rfam.